AUCUACCCCACCUUGUGGCCAAUCGUUGACAUUAAGAGACCUGGGCCCUCAUUUAUAAAGCACUGCCUAGGAUUCACGUGGGAAGGUGGCAUACGUAGGACAAAGCAAGUAAAUAUGCACAAAAAUAUUCCGGUUUAUAAAACACUGCGCACGCACGUUAGCCUACACCUGUGCGUCUGGCACUCAGUAACGUAAUGUUCUUCCCUUUUAGGAAAUGAUAUUAAACCAAGUGCAAUAGCAGGGUUUGCACAUAUACAAACAGUUGGGACUUUGUUUACAAAAGAGAUAUCUGUUUAUUUGGUGGUUUGUGUUCCGGCUGUGCACAGCGUCUCCACUGCACCCUGUGCGUCUCACCCACCCCCAGCAGCAACUCUAUCAACCAGUUAAAGGAAAUACAACCAGUAUGUUGUGUGAUGUCAGGGCUACAAUUGACCAAAUAUAUGGUGUUAUUAGUUUUCAUAUAUUUUGUGUUUUACGAGCGACCCAUCACGUUCCGGCGAACGGCAUAAUAAUGAACUUUAUUUGUAAAGGACCGUUCAAAAACAAAGUUCUAAAAUGCUCAACAAUUUAAACACAUUUUCAGACAACCUCAACGGCGUCAGUUAACAUGUCUUUCUGUUUACCACAUCAUGUAUGAGAACACAUUUCGUAACAUGUUGAGAAUAUAUUUGAGGGGUGGGUUUCAAUAACAUAUCUUAUCUUAUCUUAUUUAUUUCUCAAAGUUAUGGUUUUGUGUGCACUCAGAAGUCUCAAACAGGCGUUUGUUUAAUCAUUUUAAGAUCGGCUUUUAUCCUUCUGCAAAUGAAUUCUUCUUAUAUGAUAUAUGAGGUAAUGUUUCGAUUGGUGGUUUUAUUUCCACAUGGUUCUCUCCGUUCUUCCUUCUGCCAACGGUGUCGCAGUUUCUCAUCUCUCCCGUGUUUGUGCGUAAGCAUGGGUCAGAGUGUGCUUGGAGGACCGCACAUUUCCCGUCAGGUUUGUUUUUUAUAAAUCGAAAAGAUUGCUUAGAAACUGGCGUACGCCAUUUUUUGGGCGUAUGCCACGUUUAUAAACGAGGCCCCUGGACGUUUAGCUAUCUUUUUAUGUAAAGGAACCCAAACAAUAUGGUUCAUGUAUUUGUUAAAUUGCUUUUAUUUUGUUAUCUUUCAUGAACAAGGAUGUGCUUUUAUUUUGAAGAGAUAAGGAACGGAAGUUGAGCAGAAAGACGUUAACGAAAAGUACGGUAACACGGAGAAACGGUGCAGUAACACGACAUAACGGGAGAGUAUAACGGAGUUUAGCUCCAGUCGAGAGGGAAACAAGGUUGGGCAGUUGCGACCCAGGUUCUGCUAGCAUCUGGCUAAUGAAAGCCGAUUGGUCAAUGAAGAACUCACGACUGGUUACGACCGAAGAAUACGCUUUGUGGUACCUGUCCACAGAACAUCAACAACGCUCUUAAGGUGCCAACCGCCGUUAAAAGAGAAGAAGAAGAAAGCUCUUAAGGAGGACUCUGAAAGGACAUUACAAUCGAACUUUUUUAUUUGAUUAUGGUCAACUUUGGAUGUACUGAUCCUACCACACACAUACAUUGUAUUGUAAAAAUAAAUUUGAAAGUUAACUGAU
This is a long non-coding RNA of Eleginops maclovinus (Patagonian blennie), 1599 nucleotides long. RefSeq lists it as uncharacterized. The record is from RefSeq and is a predicted model, not a curated record. NCBI's taxonomy places the organism in Eukaryota, Metazoa, Chordata, Actinopteri, Perciformes, Eleginopidae. The transcript has 2 exons.